GUUGAACGCUGGCGGCAGGCCUAACACAUGCAAGUCGAGCGGAUGAAGGGGGCUUGCUCCUGGAUUCAGCGGCGGACGGGUGAGUAAUGCCUAGGAAUCUGCCUGGUAGUGGGGGAUAACGUCCGGAAACGGGCGCUAAUACCGCAUACGUCCUGAGGGAGAAAGUGGGGGAUCUUCGGACCUCACGCUAUCAGAUGAGCCUAGGUCGGAUUAGCUAGUUGGUGGGGUUAAGGGCUAGCAGGGCGACGAUCCGUAACUGGUCUGGGAGGAUGAUCAGUCACACUAGAACGUAGACACGGACCAUGCUCCUGAGGGAGGGAGCAGUGGGGAAUGUUGGGCAGUGGGCGGAAGCCUGGUACAGUCAGGGCGCGUGUGUUGAAGAGGUCCUCCGAUUGGAAAGCCCGUUUAGGUGGGAGGAACGGCAGUCAGUUAAUACCUUGCUGUUUUGACGGUACCAACAGAAUAAGCACCGGCUAACUUCGUG
Molecule: ribosomal RNA, 484 nt
Filed under: uncultured bacterium
Lineage: Bacteria
Description: partial 16S ribosomal RNA
Rfam family: Bacterial small subunit ribosomal RNA
Source: RNAcentral